GGGCGAUUAGCUCAGUUGGUUGGAGCGUUGCGUUCACAUCGCAAAGGCCAGAGGUUCGAGUCCUCUAUCGCCCACCA
RNAcentral lists this transfer RNA (77 nucleotides) under Candidatus Omnitrophota bacterium. RNAcentral's name for it is "Candidatus Omnitrophica bacterium tRNA-Val". It matches the Rfam family "tRNA". Rfam says of the family: Transfer RNA (tRNA) molecules are approximately 80 nucleotides in length. Their secondary structure includes four short double-helical elements and three loops (D, anti-codon, and T loops). The record is from RNAcentral. Lineage: Bacteria; Pseudomonadati; Candidatus Omnitrophota.